UACGGGGGGAGCAAGCGUUGUUCGGAUUUACUGGGCGUAAAGGGCGCGUAGGCGGUCGUGACAAGUCACUUGUGAAAUCUCCGGGCUUAACUCGGAACGGUCAAGUGAUACUGUCGGACUAGAGUACAGAAGGGGCAACUGGAAUUCUCGGUGUAGCGGUGAAAUGCGCAGAUAUCAGGAGGAACACCGGUGGCGAAGGCGGUUCUCUGGGCAUUACCUGACGCUGAGGAGCGAAAGUGUGGGGAGCGAACAGG
This 254-nucleotide ribosomal RNA is filed under the name uncultured bacterium. RNAcentral describes it as "partial 16S ribosomal RNA". It matches the Rfam family "Bacterial small subunit ribosomal RNA", at positions 524 to 776 of the family's 1533-position model. The record is from RNAcentral.